RNAcentral lists this transfer RNA (73 nucleotides) under Camelus bactrianus (Bactrian camel). It matches the Rfam family "tRNA". Rfam says of the family: Transfer RNA (tRNA) molecules are approximately 80 nucleotides in length. Lineage: Eukaryota; Metazoa; Chordata; Mammalia; Artiodactyla; Camelidae. RNAcentral also lists the same sequence under 2 other names. The record is from Rfam by way of RNAcentral.
GAGAGUAUAGCUCAAAUGGUAGAGCGCAUGCUUAGCAUGCAUGAGGUUCUGGGUUUAAUUCCCAGCACCUCCU